RNAcentral lists this transfer RNA (88 nucleotides) under Bryobacteraceae bacterium. RNAcentral's name for it is "tRNA-Tyr". It matches the Rfam family "tRNA". Rfam says of the family: Transfer RNA (tRNA) molecules are approximately 80 nucleotides in length. Their secondary structure includes four short double-helical elements and three loops (D, anti-codon, and T loops). Further hydrogen bonds mediate the characteristic L-shaped molecular structure. tRNAs have two regions of fundamental functional importance: the anti-codon, which is responsible for specific mRNA codon recognition, and the 3' end, to which the tRNAs corresponding amino acid is attached (by aminoacyl-tRNA synthetases). tRNAs cope with the degeneracy of the genetic code in two manners: having more than one tRNA (with a specific anti-codon) for a particular amino acid; and 'wobble' base-pairing, i.e. permitting non-standard base-pairing at the 3rd anti-codon position. Lineage: Bacteria; Pseudomonadati; Acidobacteriota; Terriglobia; Bryobacterales; Bryobacteraceae. The record is from RNAcentral.
GGACAGGUGGCUGAGCGGUCAAAAGCAACGGGCUGUAAACCCGUCGACCUUUGGGUCUACGGAGGUUCGAAUCCUCCCCUGUCCACCA